Molecule: long non-coding RNA, 797 nt
Organism: Spinacia oleracea (spinach)
Lineage: Eukaryota; Viridiplantae; Streptophyta; Magnoliopsida; Caryophyllales; Amaranthaceae
Exons: 4
Source: RefSeq, a predicted model, not a curated record
UUUCUCCCUCUUCACCUACGUUUUCUCUCUCCUCUGCGGUCGCCGUUUCUUCUUCACCGCCGAAUCUCUCCGCCAUUGCGUAGUUUCUCAUUGAUGUUGGGGGGUUGAUUGUUGCAGUAGCUCCACCCUCCAUCUCACUUGUCUUUGCGAUCUCCCUCGUCUCCAGUCACUGCGUUCUCCCUCGUCUCCAGUCUGUACCGCCGCCGCCAACGGUGGUCCUGAAUCCACCACCAACUAGGCAGAGAUGAAGAAUAGACCAGAAGAUUCGAGUCACCCUAAUUUGAAGAAAUCAUUCAACUAUUCAGGUGAAUUAAGUUGCCCAUGGCCGAAGUGUGUUGGGUUUAAUCGGGUGGGGUCUGCAUCAGCUGCUACAACAACAUUUUUGGCUCUUUGAGUGAGUCGAGUGACCACGUUUAAUGCUAACGCAUACAAUCAGAUGGGUUCUGCAUCUGCUCUACAUCACCGUCUUUGGCUCUUGGAGUGACAAAGUUGAGAGGUGUUUGCAUGACAUCUUCGCUAUUUGGUAAAUAUGAAGAUGGGGACAUCGUGAAUAAGUUACAAGAGAUGUAUGAGGUACUCAAAAAUUCGAGGGAGGAGCCUUUCACGAUUGAAGAGAUAAAUGAAGUUCGAGAAAAGUUGGCAAACUUCAUUUCUAGUGAUUGUCUUUGAUAUUUUCUUGUAGUGAAUUUUAGUAUUGUUUUUGAUAUUUCCUUGUAAAGAAUUUUAGGUUACGGAUGCUAGUUUUUUAUGACUGUUAUGUAAUCGAGAUUUCAACUGUACAAUUUAAUUAUCUAUAU